GUGCUCACUUUGGCAGCACAUAUACUAAAAUUGGAAUGAUACAGAAAAGAUUAGCAUGGCCCUUGCACAAGGAUGACACACAAAUUUGUGAAGCGUUCCAUAUUUAA
Oryctolagus cuniculus (rabbit) is the source of this 107-nucleotide small nuclear RNA. NCBI's taxonomy places the organism in Eukaryota, Metazoa, Chordata, Mammalia, Lagomorpha, Leporidae. The record is from Ensembl.